This 468-nucleotide ribosomal RNA is filed under the name uncultured bacterium. RNAcentral's name for it is "partial 16S ribosomal RNA". It matches the Rfam family "Bacterial small subunit ribosomal RNA", at positions 28 to 507 of the family's 1533-position model. The record is from RNAcentral.
GACGAACGCUGGCGGCGUGCUUAACACAUGCAAGUCGAACGGAAAGGCCCUGCUUUUGUGGGGUGCUCGAGUGGCGAACGGGUGAGUAACACGUGAGUAACCUGCCCUUGACUUUGGGAUAACUUCAGGAAACUGGGGCUAAUACCGGAUAGGAGCUCCUGCUGCAUGGUGGGGGUUGGAAAGUUUCGGCGGUUGGGGAUGGACUCGCAGCUUAUCAGCUUGUUGGUGGGGUAGUGGCUUACCAAGGCUUUGACGGGUAGCCGGCCUGAGAGGGUGACCGGCCACAUUGGGACUGAGAUACGACCCAGACUCCUACGGGAGGCAGCAGUGGGGAAUAUUGCACAAUGGGCGGAAGCCUGAUGCAGCAACGCCGCGUGCGGGAUGACGGCCUUCGGGUUGUAAACCGCUUUCGCCUGUGACGAAGCGUGAGUGACGGUAAUGGGUAAAGAAGCACCGGCUAACUACGUG